UUAAAGCGCACGACCGGGCGAGUGUUUUUUAGCGCUGAGGAGGAGGAGGCGACGCUUUGGAUCAAGUCGAACUCUGUCAGCGACGGAUGGAUGAAGAUUCACGGCAGGAAAAGAAAAAAAAAGCGAUCAAUGGCGCAGCGCUCUCCCGUUCACCCUGAACUGGCGGUGAACUCCCGCGGAACGCCGCCAGCCCUCUCCACCCUAUCCCAUCGCCGCUCGGGGGUCACCAGGGGGGCGUCUCUGUGCCAAUAUGCAGAUGAAACGGUGCCCCUCCGAUGACUCCGGACUCUGGAUCCACCCCUCUAUAUGGUGCAGGCUUUGAGAUGAAGUCCAGCCCCCCCCUCCACCCAGACAACACUCACACACAUAAAGACAUAAACCCACUCUCACAUUGGCUUAAAUAGGCCUUUAACAGCUUACGUCCACUCUUCAUUUAAUGGCCAAAGUGUGUCGAACCUAAUGGAUGUUGUCAAAGCUGAGAUGUGACCACUGAUUUAGAGGAGGGACCCGAAUGCCAGGCUUCACUGGCCGCUAAAGACAAACGCACACGAGCACACACACACACACACACACACAGGCAGAAUUACCUCAGCUAUGCCACAAAUCAAAGUAAUAUCUUAAAAAGAUGUGGGGAUCGAUGAGGUGUCAUCUGGCUGUAUCCCCUGUGUAAAGUGAACCCAUAAACAGCCGGUGACAACUACUUAUCCUCAGCUUUAGCCCCUCGCUGAGAAAGUUUUUAUCUCAUAAGCAGAUUUUGUUUGGUUUAUGGCCGAUUGAUUUCAUGUAUUGUUAAACUAAGAUCUAAGCGGCAGAGAGCUCUUCCUUUUUCACGACUUUAAUCACAACUUGUUUCUUGUAUUUAAUUGGUCAAAUGUUGCAAAUAAAGAACGUUGUGCAUUU
Molecule: long non-coding RNA, 900 nt
Organism: Limanda limanda (common dab)
Lineage: Eukaryota; Metazoa; Chordata; Actinopteri; Pleuronectiformes; Pleuronectidae
Exons: 2
Source: RefSeq, a predicted model, not a curated record